Nomascus leucogenys (northern white-cheeked gibbon) is the source of this 343-nucleotide non-coding RNA. It matches the Rfam family "7SK RNA". From Rfam's summary of the family: 7SK was discovered as an abundant small nuclear RNA in the mid-70s but a possible function has only recently been suggested. Two independent studies have found that 7SK RNA binds the CDK9/cyclin T complex (known as elongation factor P-TEFb). NCBI's taxonomy places the organism in Eukaryota, Metazoa, Chordata, Mammalia, Primates, Hylobatidae. The record is from Rfam.
GGAAGUCAGGGCGAUCUGGCUGUGACAUCUGUCACCCCAUUGAUCACUAGGCUUUAUUUGGCUGAUCUGGAUGGCUAGGCUUGUGUCCCUUCCCUCUCUUACCACUCCAUGUACAUCCCUCCAGAAGCUGUGGGCUUGGUCAAAGCGGAUGACCAUCCCAGGUGGAGGAGAACCAGUCUUUGGUUAAGCAUAUAUGAGUAGCUGCCCUCCCCUGCUAGAACCUGCAAAUAAGCUCUCAAAGUGGCCCAGGUUGAGAUUGGGAUUUCUCCUCCCUCCCGAUCUUAAACAACGACCAAGGAUAAAGGCAAGAAUUAGCCUUAAAUAUUUGAUCAUGUUCAUCUCU